CGCAUCUGUGCAUGCAGCAUAUCAAUAAGCGGAGGAAAAGAAACUAACAAGGAUUCCCUCAGUAACGGCGAGUGAAGCGGGAAGAGCUCAAAUUUGAAAUCUUGAAAGGUCACCUUUCACGAAUUGUAGUUUAAAGAAGUGUUUUCUGUUACGAUCGUAAUAUAAGUUCUUUGGAAUAGGACAUCCACAGAGGGUGAGAAUCCCGUCUAUGAUUGCGAUUUGUAGCUUUGUGAUACACUUUCAAAGAGUCGGGUUGUUUGGGAAUGCAGCCCAAAACGGGAGGUAAAUUUCUUCUAAGGCUAAAUAUUGGCGAGAGACCGAUAGCGAACAAGUACCGUGAGGGAAAGAUGAAAAGAACUUUGAAAAGAGAGUUAAAUAGUACGUGAAAUUGUCAAAAGGGAAGCGUUUAACACCAGUGUUGUUUUCUGAAAAUCAACCUCUGUUAGCUUUAUGCAUGUUUGUUUAGACCUAAUCAGCUAUCUUUCAUGUUCUAUUGUUUGCAGUGGUGCACUUUUCAGUUUACAGGUCAACAUCAGUUUUUUUUACCGUAAAAAAGUUAAAGAAAGGUAGCUCAUGGCUCCGGUCGUGAGUGUUAUAGUCUUUUUCCUAUGCGGUAGGAGAGACUGAGGUCUGCAGUGUAGGCUAUUUGGCUAGAUACUCAGGUGCUAUGUGAUACCAUUUCAUAAACAACUUGUUGAUUAUGUUUUGUCUAUUGCAUACUCGCUUGUACUAUCAUACCUACGCUUAGGAUGUUGACGAUCAGCUGAGCGCG
RNAcentral lists this ribosomal RNA (772 nucleotides) under uncultured Neocallimastigales. RNAcentral's name for it is "partial large subunit ribosomal RNA". The stretch from base 1 to 662 matches the Rfam family "Eukaryotic large subunit ribosomal RNA", at positions 26 to 664 of the family's 3401-position model. The record is from RNAcentral. Lineage: Eukaryota; Fungi; Neocallimastigomycota; Neocallimastigomycetes; Neocallimastigales.